This is a non-coding RNA of Salvia hispanica, 795 nucleotides long. NCBI's taxonomy places the organism in Eukaryota, Viridiplantae, Streptophyta, Magnoliopsida, Lamiales, Lamiaceae. The record is from RefSeq and is a predicted model, not a curated record.
UUAAUUUUGGGUAUUAUUGCAAUUAAUCUAAAUUUAAUUUUAGAUGCAAAUUUUAAAGCGACAGUUUCGCAGGUAUUAUAAAUGUAAUCCACGAUAACAAAAAAUUAAUUUUUACCAAUAUGCGUUUAGGAAUUUGACCAACUUAAUUGUCCUUGAACGUUACAAAUUUUUCAAACUUAAAUUGAAUCAACCGUGCAUGUCUUUUUUGCAAAUAUUUGCAUGGAGUAAUUAUUAAAUCAAUGUGAUGCCGUUGCACAAUUGAAAUUAAUAUUAGUUAAUGCUUAUAAUGCCUAAUUAUUGCCCCGCUUUGCUUCAUAUGUAUAUUUAAAUAUCGAGUCCUCAUUUUCAACCUCCAAUUUUAUGGUCAUUUUCUUUCUAAGUUUUCUCUUUUGUUCUUUUCUUAUUUGUUUAUGCUUUCUAAUUAGGUUUAUUCGUGUUUAUGCCUUCUUUUAGAGUUUAGGGAUUCUGCUUUGAAUACAAUUGAUAUGUCACUGGAAGAAAAAAGAGAGCAACAAAAGGAUGGAGUUUUGCAUGGCAGCAGUCUUUGUAUUUUUUAAAGGCAUAAUCUUAUUUAAGCGUGAAGUAGAAGAUGGAGGCGCUACAAGCGUGAAGAAGAGGAAGCUAUCAUUUUUCUUUUAACCUGAUUGACUCUUUUAAAUAGAAAUAGGUCAAUUUGGUAGUUAACUUAAUUCAGUUAGUGGGUUUCAAUAUAAAUUAGCGCAAUUUAUUUAAUUCAAUCUAUAUUUGUAUUACUGCAUUCGGCUAAAUUAUUUAAUGCUAAGAAAUUAAGUAGAA